This 69-nucleotide transfer RNA is filed under the name Ictidomys tridecemlineatus (thirteen-lined ground squirrel). RNAcentral's name for it is "Spermophilus tridecemlineatus (thirteen-lined ground squirrel) tRNA". It matches the Rfam family "tRNA". Rfam says of the family: Transfer RNA (tRNA) molecules are approximately 80 nucleotides in length. Their secondary structure includes four short double-helical elements and three loops (D, anti-codon, and T loops). Lineage: Eukaryota; Metazoa; Chordata; Mammalia; Rodentia; Sciuridae. The record is from Rfam by way of RNAcentral.
GGGGUUGUGGCUCAGUGGUAGUGCAUUCACCUCACAUGUGAGAGACCCUGGGUUCAAUCCUCAGCACCA